Molecule: long non-coding RNA, 252 nt
Filed under: Malus domestica (apple)
Lineage: Eukaryota; Viridiplantae; Streptophyta; Magnoliopsida; Rosales; Rosaceae
Description: long non-coding RNA (MDOM_LNC018079)
Source: RNAcentral
UCUGGGCAGUUUUGAACACAAAGCACCAAUUUGGACGAAUUUGGGUUUUAACUUGUACCAAAACACUUAAAACAUAAACCAACACACUUUCUAACUAAUCUAGGACUUCAAAAUAAAUGGGGAAUUGAUUUGGACGAAAAUGAACUAAAUGGACAGAUUGCAAGGAAAACAGAUUGUAAUGGAAACAGAUUGUAACACAAAGUUAUGAAUAAUCAAUGGAUGAUGGAAUGGCUAAGGGGUUCUUCUCCACAC